RNAcentral lists this ribosomal RNA (230 nucleotides) under uncultured bacterium. RNAcentral describes it as "partial 16S ribosomal RNA". It matches the Rfam family "Bacterial small subunit ribosomal RNA", at positions 562 to 791 of the family's 1533-position model. The record is from RNAcentral.
AAAGGGAGCGCAGGCGGAGCGUUAAGUCCGUGGUGAAAGCCCUCAGCUCAACUGAGGAACUGCCAUGGAUACUAUCGUUCUUGAAUGUCGUUGAGGUUUGCGGAAUGGGUCAUGUAGCGGUGAAAUGCUUAGAUAUGUUACAGAACACCAAUUGCGAAGGCAGAUGACUAAACCGAAACUGACGCUGAGGCACGAAAGCGUGGGGAUCAAACAGGAUUAGAUACCCCGGU